AAUAUUUGUGCGGUUAACUAAAUGUCCAGGCUGGGGGAUGGUGUUCGACGAAGGGCAGAUGUCAGUGGAGUUAUAAAGUCAGAAAAGAGCAUCUGCCUUCUAGUUCCUGGAACAUUGUCUAUACAUUAUAAGAUGCAUGAAGAGCAAGCCCCAGCAAGCAUGAUGGAGUAGCACCUCCAGGCAGAAUGGAAGUAUCCAAGGUGUAGGUGGUCGAUAU
This is a non-coding RNA of Pelobates cultripes (western spadefoot toad), 217 nucleotides long. The record is from the annotation of a GenBank genome assembly. Lineage: Eukaryota; Metazoa; Chordata; Amphibia; Anura; Pelobatidae.